UACGAGCAAUUUCCACUGCGUCGGGAGUAAACGGGACCUUUAAUAUCAAUGUCAAUGUCAGACCGAUUAUUUAGCCGUUAUCUACAGUCAGGUUAACUCCAUGGCAUUGGAUUUGAAAUUCAUGAAAAGACGAAUUCUUGGUCUGAGGGGUAAGGAUGCAGUGAAGUCAUGAACUUGCUUACCUCUUCUUCUGGGUUUGGAUCCUCCUGGUUCAGCCAAUUGCUGGUCCACAGCAACAUCUUUCUUUUGAAGGAUUUUUCGUAUUCCAUUUCUCUUCGUAAUGUAUAAAAAUUUCUCAAUCUUUCUUUAUCUUUGGAAAGUAACAGUCUGUCGCUUUGCUUUGUUCGUCCUCUAGAUGUCUGUUUCCAUAUUCGACGUGUGUAAACGCAAGAGGUAAACGAGGUAUAAGGCACGAAUCAUGUUUACGAUCGGUUCAAUCGCGUUUCGAACGUGAACGCGACCACAGUGUCAGUCAAAUUCAAAACCAUCUACGCGAGUGUUCGAUGCUAGUCGGGAUAAACAGAAAUAUUAUUCUACGUGCGAUGGUUGGAGGAGUGAAAGUGUGAACACAAAAGAAAUUCGCACUUCUAUUCAUACUUGGCUGGGUUUGAGUGCGGUUGUUGGAUUAUUUGUCGCAACGGAGAACAUCAUGGACACACAACGGAUGUACAAGAACUCAUAGUAUUUAUUAAAAUCAUUUUUUUUUUUACUGGUAUGUAAAAGUUACAUUUUAACGCGCGCAAGUUUCAUAGCUUACAGAUAUAAAGAUCACAUUAGUUGACUUGUAAAUUCUAGGAAAAACUAGGAACAUGAUUAUUCAGCAUCAAGUUCAAUUUCUUCUAAUUAAAUGUAUCAAGCAUCAGAAUUUUCUCGUCAAUAUUCAAUCAUCGUAGAGAAUCAUAAAACACUAGGUUCGACAUAACGCUUAACAAUUUAGUGAACGGUAUUAUCUG
Long non-coding RNA from Neodiprion fabricii, 953 nucleotides. RefSeq lists it as uncharacterized. Lineage: Eukaryota; Metazoa; Arthropoda; Insecta; Hymenoptera; Diprionidae. The record is from RefSeq and is a predicted model, not a curated record. The transcript is spliced from 2 exons.